GUGCUCUCUCUGGCUGCACAUACACUAAAACUAGAACCACAGAAGAUUCGCGUGGCCCCUGCACACGGAUAACAUGCAAAAUCAGUAAGUGUUCCACAUUUUU
Molecule: small nuclear RNA, 103 nt
Filed under: Procavia capensis (Cape rock hyrax)
Lineage: Eukaryota; Metazoa; Chordata; Mammalia; Hyracoidea; Procaviidae
Source: RNAcentral